GACGAACGCUGGCGGCGUGCUUAACACAUGCAAGUCGAACGGUAAGGCUCCAGCUUGCUGGGGUACACGAGUGGCGAACGGGUGAGUAACACGUGGGUGACCUGCCCUGCACUUCGGGAUAAGCCUGGGAAACUGGGUCUAAUACCGGAUAGGACCGCACCGUGAGGGUGUGGUGGAAAGUUUUUUCGGUGUGGGAUGGGCCCGCGGCCUAUCAGCUUGUUGGUGGGGUAAUGGCCUACCAAGGCGGCGACGGGUAGCCGGCCUGAGAGGGUGGACGGCCACAUUGGGACUGAGACACGGCCCAGACUCCUACGGGAGGCAGCAGUGGGGAAUAUUGCACAAUGGGCGGAAGCCUGAUGCAGCGACGCCGCGUGGGGGAUGACGGCCUUCGGGUUGUAAACGCCUUUCACCAUCGACGAAGGGUUUCUGACGGUAGAUGGAGAAGAAGCACCGGCUAACCACGUG
This 465-nucleotide ribosomal RNA is filed under the name uncultured bacterium. RNAcentral describes it as "partial 16S ribosomal RNA". It matches the Rfam family "Bacterial small subunit ribosomal RNA", at positions 28 to 507 of the family's 1533-position model. The record is from RNAcentral.